RNAcentral lists this ribosomal RNA (253 nucleotides) under uncultured bacterium. RNAcentral's name for it is "partial 16S ribosomal RNA". It matches the Rfam family "Bacterial small subunit ribosomal RNA", at positions 524 to 776 of the family's 1533-position model. The record is from RNAcentral.
UACGAAGGGGGCUAGCGUUGCUCGGAAUCACUGGGCGUAAAGCACACGUAGGCGGCUUCUUAAGUCAGGGGUGAAAUCCUGGAGCUCAACUCCAGAACUGCCUUUGAUACUGAGGAGCUUGAGUCCGGGAGAGGUGAGUGGAAUUCCUGGUGUAGCGGUGGAAUGCGCAGAUAUCAGGAGGAACACCAAUGGCGAAGGCGGCGCUCUGGGCUGGAACUGACGCUGAGGAGCGAAAGCGUGGGGAGCGAACAGG